UGUAAGCGUAUACAAAGUUGUUGCAGUUAAAACGCUCGUAGUCGGAAUUUGGCAGUUCCGGAUGUGUGCACGUCGUGUGCGCACUUCGCGGGGAUUGCUUUUGUGGUCUUGCGUAGGAUGAGGCACUUUUAUUAGUGAACGUCCUCACGCAACCACUUUUUACUGUGAGAAAAUCAGAGUGCUCAAAGCAGGCAUUUGCCGUGAAUGUAUUAGCAUGGAAUAAUAGAAUAGGACUUGGUUCUAUUUUGUUGGUUUGUUGGGACUGAGUAAUGAUUAAGAGGGACAGUUGGGGGCAUUUGUAUUUCGGUGCUAGAGGUGAAAUUCUUAGAUUACCGAAAGACAAACUGCUGCGAAAGCGUCUGCCAAGGAUGUUUUCAUUGA
RNAcentral lists this ribosomal RNA (381 nucleotides) under uncultured eukaryote. RNAcentral describes it as "partial 18S ribosomal RNA". It matches the Rfam family "Eukaryotic small subunit ribosomal RNA", at positions 592 to 976 of the family's 1831-position model. The record is from RNAcentral.